Molecule: ribosomal RNA, 497 nt
Filed under: uncultured bacterium
Lineage: Bacteria
Description: partial 16S ribosomal RNA
Rfam family: Bacterial small subunit ribosomal RNA
Source: RNAcentral
GAUGAACGCUGGCGGCGUGCCUAAUACAUGAAAGUCGAGCGAACAGACGAGGAGCUUGCUCCUCUGACGUUAGCGGCGGACGGGUGAGUAACACGUGGAUAACCUACCUAUAAGACUGGGAUAACUUCGGGAAACCGGAGCUAAUACCGGAUAAUAUAUUGAACCGCAUGGUUGAAUAGUGAAAGACGGUUUUGCUGUCACUUAUAGAUGGAUCCGCGCCGCAUUAGCUAGUUGGUAAGGUAACGGCUUACCAAGGCAACGAUGCGUAGCCGACCUGAGAGGGUGAUCGGCCACACUGGAACUGAGACACGGUCCAGACUCCUACGGGAGGCAGCAGUAGGGAAUCUUCCGCAAUGGGCGAAAGCCUGACGGAGCAACGCCGCGUGAGUGAUGAAGGUCUUCGGAUCGUAAAACUCUGUUAUUAGUGAAGAACAAAUGUGUAAGUAACUAUGCACGUCUUGACGGUACCUAAUCAGAAAGCCCCGGCUAACUACGUG